GUUGAGCGCUGGCGGCAUGCUUUACACAUGCAAGUCGAACGGCAGCGCGGGCUUCGGCCUGGCGGCGAGUGGCGAACGGGUGAGUAAUACAUCGGAACGUGCCCAGUAGUGGGGGAUAGCUCGGCGAAAGCCGGAUUAAUACCGCAUACGACCUGAGGGUGAAAGCGGGGGAUCUUCGGACCUCGCGCUAUUGGAGCGGCCGAUGGCAGAUUAGCUAGUUGGUGGGGUAAAGGCCUACCAAGGCGACGAUCUGUAGCUGGUCUGAGAGGACGACCAGCCACACUGGGACUGAGACACGGCCCAGGCUCCUACGGGAGGCAGCAGUGGGGAAUUUUGGACAAUGGGCGAAAGCCUGAUCCAGCAAUGCCGCGUGUGUGAUGAAGGCCUUCGGGUUGUAAAGCACUUUUGGCGGGAACGAAAAGGACUGUGCCAAUACCACGGUUCGAUGACGGUACCCGCAGAAUAAGCACCGGCUAACUACGUG
RNAcentral lists this ribosomal RNA (484 nucleotides) under uncultured bacterium. Its description in RNAcentral is "partial 16S ribosomal RNA". It matches the Rfam family "Bacterial small subunit ribosomal RNA", at positions 28 to 507 of the family's 1533-position model. The record is from RNAcentral.